Nelumbo nucifera (sacred lotus) is the source of this 1302-nucleotide long non-coding RNA. RefSeq lists it as uncharacterized. The record is from RefSeq and is a predicted model, not a curated record. Lineage: Eukaryota; Viridiplantae; Streptophyta; Magnoliopsida; Proteales; Nelumbonaceae.
GAUUACCCCAAAUCCAAAAAACCUAAGAAUGCCUCUCUCGCUCUCGCUCAGGAACGAAGAACGCCUCUCUCUCUCUCUCUUCAGUGGAAUCUUAGGGCGAAGGAAAACAGGGAGAAGGGAGAGAGAGAGAAAGCUGAUGGACAAACGGAAGAGGGAGAGAGUGGAAGAGAGGGACGGGCGGAGAACUGAAUGUUAAGGGAGAAGGAGGAGGAGAAGAUAAGGAAGAGAAGGAGAAGAGAAGGAGGCGGAGAACUACCGCUGCCUGAAAUUGCAGCGGUGAUGAAAAACAGGAGAAGAGAAGGACGAAAAUGCUGGGAGGAAGAAGAAGAGGAAAGAGAGGGAAAGAGAGAGAGAACGGACGGAGACCUACUGUUGGUUCGCCGCCGCUGUCGAGAGGAAAGGGUGAGUGCACAAUGUCAAACAGUGUAUUCCGGUGAAUCUGAGAAGAUGAAGAAGAAAGAAAAAAAAACAGAAUACAGAGGAACGAAGAAGGAAGAGAGAAAGAUAGGGAGGCCGGAGAUGGGGGUUUGCAACUCUCUCUCUCGUAUCACCGCCGCUGCAACUCUCAGCAGCGGCGACUCUCUCUCUCCCCCUGUCUUCCCACUUCCCGCAACCGCCGCUGCAACUUCUCUCUCGAUCACUCUCUCUCUCUUGACCGCCGCUGUCUCCUCAUUUCCCUGAUCAUCUCUGUCACUCCCUCCCCGUUUGAAACUCCAUGCAUCCUCUCGGCACGGACAGCAGUUGCCCGAGGCCUCUUCCAAAUGCCUCCAGUUCGUCUCAACAAUCGUUGUCUCGGAGAAAAAAAGAUACUUUUAGUUCGAUUUGGGGAGUCAAAAUUCGAAAGGCUUGGCAUAAUCAACACGAACCCAGUAGCAAAGACGUCCGUGGACAGCGGGCUCUCGGAACUAGGGAAGAAACAGACGGUGAGAGCGGUCCUCGCAUUGAAGGAGAUGGGAGAUUGCAGUGGAAAUUGCUGGAUUUGGCCUUCCAUCACCCAGAGAGCUUACCAGGCUGCAGAGGUCAUUGCCGCAGUUACUGGGAUUGAUCGGAGGUAGAUACACUUCCAGGGGUGUGAAUCUUUUACUCACCCCAUUCAUCCUUUUCUUUUCCCAAUGAAACUGUAAAAGGUUUUCUGACUUUCUCCCAUCACACUGAAAUUAAUUUGGAAGUAGAGUAUAGUCCAAUAAAAUCGACAGCUUCACUAUUCCCUCUUCUCUUUUAUGUUUUCUUUCUGCGAAGAUCGACGAACAAUUGCGCCCCUGUACAGCUUUAUAAAGACAAUUUGUAUGAGGUGUUUGAUCA